RNAcentral lists this ribosomal RNA (496 nucleotides) under uncultured bacterium. RNAcentral's name for it is "partial 16S ribosomal RNA". It matches the Rfam family "Bacterial small subunit ribosomal RNA", at positions 28 to 506 of the family's 1533-position model. The record is from RNAcentral.
GAUGAACGCUGGCGGCGUGCCUAAUACAUGCAAGUCGAGCGAACAGAUGAGGAGCUUGCUCCUCUGACGUUAGCGGCGGACGGGUGAGUAACACGUGGAUAACCUACCUAUAAGACUGGGAUAACUUCGGGAAACCGGAGCUAAUACCGGAUAAUAUAUUGAACCGCAUGGUUCAAUAGUGAAAGACGGUUUUGCUGUCACUUAUAGAUGGACCCGCGCCGAAUUAGCUAGUUGGUAAGGUAACGGCUUACCAAGGCAACGAUGCGUAGCCGACCUGAGAGGGUGAUCGGCCACACUGGACCUGGGACACGGUCCAGACUCCUACGGGAGGCAGCAGUAGGGAAUCUUCAGCAAUGGGCGAAAGCCUGACGGAGCAACGCCGCGUGAGUGAUGAAGGUCUUCGGAUCGUAAAACUCUGUUAUGAGGGAAGAACAAAUGUGUAAGUAACUAUGCACGUCUUGACGGUACCAAAGAAGAAAGCCACGGCUAACUACGG